This 244-nucleotide unclassified non-coding RNA is filed under the name Hevea brasiliensis (rubber tree). The record is from RNAcentral. Lineage: Eukaryota; Viridiplantae; Streptophyta; Magnoliopsida; Malpighiales; Euphorbiaceae.
GACCAGGUACAGAGUACAGACUCUUACCCUUCAGGAAAUUAUAAUUAGAUGAGCUCAGACAGAGAGCUUCGGAAAAAUGAUGAAACAGAGUAAGCAAAUCCAGUUCAAAGGAGGCAGAAUGGGAUAACAAAUACGGACUCGUGUUACGGUGCCUGACUAAAUAAAUUUAUUCAGAUAAACUAGAUUGGAUGCCCAUUUUUUACAUAAAACUCAAGACAUUCAGCUGUCUUGAUAUUAUACAGGA